Molecule: ribosomal RNA, 561 nt
Filed under: uncultured bacterium
Lineage: Bacteria
Description: bacterial SSU rRNA
Rfam family: Bacterial small subunit ribosomal RNA
Source: RNAcentral
CCUACGGGAGGCAGCAGUGGGGAAUAUUGGACAAUGGGCGAAAGCCUGAUCCAGCAAUGCCGCGUGAGUGAUGAAGGCCUUCGGGUCGUAAAGCUCUUUUACCAGGGAUGAUAAUGACAGUACCUGGAGAAUAAGCUCCGGCUAACUCCGUGCCAGCAGCCGCGGUAAUACGGAGGGAGCUAGCGUUGUUCGGAAUUACUGGGCGUAAAGAGUACGUAGGCGGUUAUUCAAGUCAGAGGUGAAAGCCCGGGGCUCAACCCCGGAACUGCCUUUGAAACUAGAUAACUAGAGUCUUGGAGAGGUUAGUGGAAUUCCGAGUGUAGAGGUGAAAUUCGUAGAUAUUCGGAAGAACACCAGUGGCGAAGGCGACUAACUGGACAAGUACUGACGCUGAGGUACGAAAGCGUGGGGAGCAAACAGGAUUAGAUACCCUGGUAGUCCACGCCGUAAACGAUGAUAACUAGUUGUUCGGUCACUUGGUGACUGAGUGACGCAGCUAACGCAUUAAGUUAUCCGCCUGGGGAGUACGGUCGCAAGAUUAAAGCUUAAAGGAAUUGACGG